RNAcentral lists this ribosomal RNA (253 nucleotides) under uncultured bacterium. RNAcentral describes it as "partial 16S ribosomal RNA". It matches the Rfam family "Bacterial small subunit ribosomal RNA", at positions 524 to 776 of the family's 1533-position model. The record is from RNAcentral.
UACGAAGGGGGCUAGCGUUGCUCGGAAUGACUGGGCGUAAAGGGCGCGUAGGCGGAUUGCUUAGUCAGGCGUGAAAGUCCUGGGCUCAACCUGGGGAUUGCGCUUGAUACGGGUGGUCUGGAGUUGGAAAGAGGGUCGUGGAAUUCCCAGUGUAGAGGUGAAAUUCGUAGAUAUUGGGAAGAACACCGGUGGCGAAGGCGGCGACCUGGUCCUUGACUGACGCUGAGGCGCGAAAGCGUGGGGAGCAAACAGG